GCCACUAGGGUAGCGUAGUGGACAUGGCAUCUGCCCGGUAAGCGGAACAUUGUGGGUUCGAUUCCCAUCCCUGGACA
RNAcentral lists this transfer RNA (77 nucleotides) under Cordylochernes scorpioides. Its description in RNAcentral is "tRNA-Thr". It matches the Rfam family "tRNA". From Rfam's summary of the family: Transfer RNA (tRNA) molecules are approximately 80 nucleotides in length. Their secondary structure includes four short double-helical elements and three loops (D, anti-codon, and T loops). Further hydrogen bonds mediate the characteristic L-shaped molecular structure. tRNAs have two regions of fundamental functional importance: the anti-codon, which is responsible for specific mRNA codon recognition, and the 3' end, to which the tRNAs corresponding amino acid is attached (by aminoacyl-tRNA synthetases). tRNAs cope with the degeneracy of the genetic code in two manners: having more than one tRNA (with a specific anti-codon) for a particular amino acid; and 'wobble' base-pairing, i.e. permitting non-standard base-pairing at the 3rd anti-codon position. Lineage: Eukaryota; Metazoa; Arthropoda; Arachnida; Pseudoscorpiones; Chernetidae. The record is from RNAcentral.